Molecule: long non-coding RNA, 1181 nt
Filed under: Lathyrus oleraceus (garden pea)
Lineage: Eukaryota; Viridiplantae; Streptophyta; Magnoliopsida; Fabales; Fabaceae
Description: Pisum sativum (pea) long non-coding RNA (PSAT_LNC003987)
Source: RNAcentral
UUACAAUACAAAACACAAACAACAAGAAACAUUAACAUUGCCACGAAAUUGAAUCACAAACAGUAAGAAGCAUUAACAUCGCCACGGAAUCGAAUCACAAACAUCAAUAAGCAUUAACACCGCCAUGAAGUCAAAUCAAAAUAACAAGAAACAUUAACACCACCAUGAAAUCAAAUCACAAACAAUAAGAAGCAUUAACACCGCCAUGAAAUCAAAUCACAAAUAAUAAGAAGCAUUAACACCACCAUGAAAUUGAAUCGAAAACUAAAUGCGACAAAUGAACUAAGAUUCUAACAACACCUUAAACAAAUUACUCGAAGUCGAAGAGUUACUGAAACAUCGUGCAAAAUGAAUCUUGACUCUAUUCGAUGCGUCUAGGCUGCUGCAAGUUUUGGAAUCGGAGUUGUUGGAAGGAAAGUGAACUUCGAAGAAUUAGAUGCCUUAUCACCAAAAAUCUAGAUUUGGACGCCUUCAGUCUUUGGCAAAAUAAAAAUCUAGCAAGAUCAAUCAUAUGAAUCUCACUUUCUUGUGUAUCCAACAUGAUCACAACGGUAAGUUCCUUUUCAAGGUUAAGUUUUCAAGUACUAUCGAUAACAGUUUGUGCCAUUCUCUAGUAGCAUGACACAUAAUGAUACUAGCAACCUUCAUUCCUCCAAUGACAAAUACUUCAAGCUGUUAAAACCCGCACAUGGCAGAUCUCAUGGUGCAGACAAGUUUCGUCCAUUCUUUUUAGCAUUGUUUUAGUGAUGGAAGGUCGAUUGUUGUUUUUGUGACAGAGGUGAAGUGGUGGUUCAUGGUUGGUAUGUAUGACAAGAGAGGGGUAGGAUUUGGUGGUGGGUGAUGAAUUAUUCACAACAAGAUUGAAAGUUAAGCGUGGAAGGGUGUAUAUCGGAGAGGGUUAUGGAGUUUGAUGAAGUUUUAAUGGUGGUUCUUGUUCUAAUGUACAGAAGAGGGAUGGGAAGGUUGUUUAUGGGUGGUGGUGAGAGUGUAACAGUGGGAAGAAACACGAUGAAGCAACCACGGUUUUGGAGGAAGGUGACAAUGUGUUCUUCGUUGGUGAUGAUGAAGGUUUUUGUUGGUGAUUUCCUGGAAAAAGAUGAAAUGGAUAUGAGGGAGGAGUAAUGUCAGUGAGUGGUUUUGGGAGAGGGAGAACAAUUUCUCAAAAAGUCUCAGAGAGAGAG